RNAcentral lists this ribosomal RNA (322 nucleotides) under uncultured eukaryote. RNAcentral's name for it is "partial 18S ribosomal RNA". It matches the Rfam family "Eukaryotic small subunit ribosomal RNA", at positions 1470 to 1796 of the family's 1831-position model. The record is from RNAcentral.
CCCUUAGAUGUUCUGGGCCGCACGCGCGCUACACUGAUGCAUUCAACGAGCCUAUCCUUGACCGACAGGUCCGGGUAAUCUUUGAAUCUGCAUCGUGACGGGGAUAGAUUAUUGCAAUUAUUAAUCUUCAACGAGGAAUUCCUAGUAGACGUAGUUCAUUAGACUGCAUCGAUUACGUCCCUGCCCUUUGUACACACCGCCCGUCGCUCCUACCGAUUGAAUGCUCAGGUGAGCCAUUCGGACUUUCAUCAUGCUGGUUUCCAGUUUUGAUGAAGGAAAGUCUUGCGAACCUUAUCAUUUAGAGGAAGGAGAAGUCGUAACA